This 468-nucleotide ribosomal RNA is filed under the name uncultured bacterium. RNAcentral describes it as "partial 16S ribosomal RNA". It matches the Rfam family "Bacterial small subunit ribosomal RNA", at positions 28 to 507 of the family's 1533-position model. The record is from RNAcentral.
GACGAACGCUGGCGGCGUGCUUAACACAUGCAAGUCGAACGGAAAGGCCCUGCUUUUGUGGGGUGCUCGAGUGGCGAAUGGGUGAGUAACACGUGAGUAACCUGCCCUUGACUUUGGGAUAACUUCAGGAAACUGGGGCUAAUACCGGAUAGGAGCUCCUGCUGCAUGGUGGGGGUUGGAAAGUUUCGGCGGUUGGGGAUGGACUCGCGGCUUAUCAGCUUGUUGGUGGGGUAGUGGCUUACCAAGGCUUUGACGGGUAGCCGGCCUGAGAGGGUGACCGGCCACAUUGGGACUGAGAUACGGCCCAGACUCCUACGGGAGGCAGCAGUGGGGAAUAUUGCACAAUGGGCGGAAGCCUGAUGCAGCAACGCCGCGUGCGGGAUGACGGCCUUCGGGUUGUAAACCGCUUUCGCCUGUGACGAAGCGUGAGUGACGGUAAUGGGUAAAGAAGCACCGGCUAACUACGUG